Small nuclear RNA from Gigantopelta aegis, 109 nucleotides. RefSeq annotates it as U5 spliceosomal RNA. The record is from RefSeq and is a predicted model, not a curated record. Lineage: Eukaryota; Metazoa; Mollusca; Gastropoda; Neomphalida; Peltospiridae. The transcript has a single exon.
ACUACUGGCUUCCCCCCUCAAAUCGUAUAAUAUCUUCGCCUUUUACUAAAGAUUUCCGUGGAGAGGAAAAUAAAGAGUGUAUGUUAAUUUUUAAGGGCCUCUCAUGGCC